Molecule: ribosomal RNA, 59 nt
Filed under: Diaporthe eres
Lineage: Eukaryota; Fungi; Ascomycota; Sordariomycetes; Diaporthales; Diaporthaceae
Description: partial 28S ribosomal RNA
Source: RNAcentral
AUUUGACCUCGGAUCAGGUAGGAAUACCCGCUGAACUAAGCAUAUCAAUAAGCGGAGGA